Molecule: long non-coding RNA, 781 nt
Organism: Sander lucioperca (pikeperch)
Lineage: Eukaryota; Metazoa; Chordata; Actinopteri; Perciformes; Percidae
Exons: 3
Source: RefSeq, a predicted model, not a curated record
UUCUAAAUGUAUUUUUGUAUAUAACAAAUCUAUGAAGUAGCCUACCUUAUUUUAUUCGAUUUUCCUUUUUUGUGAUGUGUAUAUUUAUGGAUGAUGUGUAGCCUAUUGUAAUUUCUGUAGGCCUACGCUAGCCUAUGCCUCUAAAUAAUGUAAAAUGUAAUUGAUCUAUAUCGAGUUUCUGGAUAUUUAUUGCAAUGUUCUAGAAGUAAGACUGUGUAAUGUUAUGAUAAUGUAGUUUCACUACACGAUAGUGUGGAACGUGCACGUGAUUCGGGUCCCUGCUUAUAUCGCACCUGUGAUUUGUUCCCAUAAUUACCUGUCAAGUAAACACGACGUAUGCGUGACACACUGCUAACAUACUUUCAAAAACAAAUCCUAAAUAAAUAUCAAGCUUUAACUACGUCGGCCUAGGGCUGACAUUUAUUUUCACAUUGUUUGCUUGUAAACCAGCAGCCAUCUGAAUUAUAUAAUUAGAGUUCUUUACAAUGUUUCUAACAGGCCUAUAUCGCAAAGAAUAUCAAACAAAGUAGCCCAAGUCGGUCAGCAAUUGCUUUUCUAAAUAACAUAUUCCGCCAUUGUUGAAACAAGCUCUCCGACGCUAAACAUGACAUUUAAGCUGCUAGCUAAACAAAUAAUUGGUCGAUGGCUUGGGUGAAAAGACUGACAAGCACGUGUAGCAGACAGCCAGAGUUGAAGCUCCAAGGAGGCUGAAGUAAACCAGGCAUGAACCAGCAGGCUGUUACGCAUCACUACAGUCCUCGGAGGAGAGAGGUGUAUUCAU